Molecule: long non-coding RNA, 614 nt
Filed under: Gallus gallus (chicken)
Lineage: Eukaryota; Metazoa; Chordata; Aves; Galliformes; Phasianidae
Source: RNAcentral
ACACCAGUGUCUUCGGUGACCAGGUCUCUGUCUUUGCCCUGAUCAUAAAAUUCUGAUGAGGCUUCGGCAUUCUCCAGCAGAGACUGCACAUCACUUGCAGCGAGGUUUGGCCUUUUCCUCUGUGCUUUGGGGCCAAAUGUUGUUUCAAAUGUUUCUGUGUCAAGAAUGUGAACUCUGGAGGUGUGAGGUUUAAUCCGAUCGUGGAAAAGGGACAUUGGUAACUUGCUUUGCUUCAUGACCACUCUGUAUGGAUCUUUCAUGACAGUUUCCAUUUCCUCUUGAAAUUUCUGUAGGGAUGAUUGCUUGAUCACACGAGUAUUCCCAAACCAUUUAAUAUUUGGUUCCACUCUUGCAACUGUGCCUGGUGCCACUGUUGACUGAUACUGCAGAGGUUUAAUUACUUUGCCACGUUUGUUUCUCCGCUCCUUCUGCCGGUACAUGUUGAGGCGGCGGAUGGUGGCUCGGUCCCGCAUGUUGUUCCCGCCCGCGCCAGCCACGCGAUCAGGAUUGGUGCUGGCGCGGGACGGAUUGAUGGUGCUGCGGCCCUUAUAGCGUGGCUUCACCAUGGUGCCGCCGGGACCGGACCAAACGGAGAGACCGCUCCACCACACGCG